CUAUCAUGCAGUCGAGCGAACUGAUUAGAAGCUUGCUUCUAUGACGUUAGCGGCGGACGGGUGAGUAACACGUGGGCAACCUGCCUGUAAGACUGGGAUAACUUCGGGAAACCGAAGCUAAUACCGGAUAGGAUCUUCUCCUUCAUGGGAGAUGAUUGAAAGAUGGUUUCGGCUAUCACUUACAGAUGGGCCCGCGGUGCAUUAGCUAGUUGGUGAGGUAACGGCUCACCAAGGCAACGAUGCAUAGCCGACCUGAGAGGGUGAUCGGCCACACUGGGACUGAGACACGGCCCAGACUCCUACGGGAGGCAGCAGUAGGGAAUCUUCCGCAAUGGACGAAAGUCUGACGGAGCAACGCCGCGUGAGUGAUGAAGGCUUUCGGGUCGUAAAACUCUGUUGUUAGGGAAGAACAAGUACAAGAGUAACUGCUUGUACCUUGACGGUACCUAACCAGAAAGCCACGGCUAACUACGUGCCAGCAGCCGCGGUAAUACGUAGGUGGCAAGCGUUAUCCGGAAUUAUUGGGCGUAAAGCGCGCGCAGGCGGUUUCUUAAGUCUGAUGUGAAAGCCCACGGCUCAACCGUGGAGGGUCAUUGGAAACUGGGGAACUUGAGUGCAGAAGAGAAAAGCGGAAUUCCACGUGUAGCGGUGAAAUGCGUAGAGAUGUGGAGGAACACCAGUGGCGAAGGCGGCUUUUUGGUCUGUAACUGACGCUGAGGCGCGAAAGCGUGGGGAGCAAACAGGAUUAGAUACCCUGGUAGUCCACGCCGUAAACGAUGAGUGCUAAGUGUUAGAGGGUUUUCCGCCCCUUUAGUGCUGCAGCUAACGCAUUAAGCACUCCGCCUGGGGAGUACGGUCGCAAGACUGAAACUCAAAGGAAUUGACGGGGGGCCCCCACAAGCGGUGGAGCAUGUGGUUUUAAUU
Molecule: ribosomal RNA, 924 nt
Filed under: uncultured bacterium
Lineage: Bacteria
Description: bacterial SSU rRNA
Rfam family: Bacterial small subunit ribosomal RNA
Source: RNAcentral